Long non-coding RNA from Gallus gallus (chicken), 373 nucleotides. NCBI's taxonomy places the organism in Eukaryota, Metazoa, Chordata, Aves, Galliformes, Phasianidae. The record is from Ensembl.
AGUACAGUUAGCAACAUACAUACAGAAAGAGAGACAGCACUUCCUUUGAUCUGUCUUUCAAUUGAUGAAAUCUUUUCAAAGAAUCAUAGAAUCACAGACUAUCCUGAGAUGCAAAGGACCCACAAGAAGGGUACUGAGUAUCGUGUAUCACGCAUGCUGCAACAUCUGACCCACAGAUCACAUCUAACAUCAGGAGUCCUCAAAAUAAGUAACGCUAUUAAAUUAGUAUUAUUUAUUUUCAACAUCAGCUUCAUGGUUCCACUAGCAACUAAAAUGGAGAUUCAGAGCCAUUAGAAGCAUGACUGAAAUCUAGCACACUAUUCAGUCCUCCAUGGAAAGAUACAGGAGCAAACCUUAAAUAACUAGUGGGAUG